Molecule: ribosomal RNA, 447 nt
Filed under: uncultured bacterium
Lineage: Bacteria
Description: bacterial SSU rRNA
Rfam family: Bacterial small subunit ribosomal RNA
Source: RNAcentral
UGGGGAAUAUUGGACAAUGGGCGAAAGCCUGACGCAGCGAUACCACGUGGGUGAAGAAGGCCUUCGGGUCGUAAAGCCCUGUCAGGGGGAAAGAUUAUGACGGUACCCCCUAAGGAAGCCACGGCUAAUUACGUGCCAGCAGCCGCGGUAAUACGUAAGUGGCGAGCGUUAUCCGGAAUCACUGGGCGUAAAGAGUGCGUAGGCGGUUGGGUAAGUUAGAUUUGAAAGCCCGGGGCUCAACUCCGGAUCCGGAUCUAAAACUGCCCGACUGGAGCGAAUCAGAGGACAACGGAAUUCCCGGUGUAGCGGUAAUAUGCGUAGAUAUCGGGAGGAACACCAGUGGCGAAGGCGGUUGUCUGGGGUUUUGCUGACGCUGAGGCACGAAAGCCAGGGGAGCGAACGGGAUUAGAUACCCGUGUAGUCCCUGAGCGGGCUGGCAAGGCGCAU